AAAAAAGCGGAGAUGAAAAAAUCUCGAAGCUCCCGAACAGGUCCUGAAACGAAACGUCUGGUCCGCGGUCAGGAUGCGCUUCUUCCGAUGACUCGUGCCGUACCGGAGGCCGUAUGGAUUCCGGCAUCAAUGUGGUUGCGGCACUUGGAAAAAUCAUCGGAAAAAUCUAUUGACGGCGGAUGCGAUAAAUUUGCCAACGAUUUUGAAUGCGGAUUCGAAUAAACCGUACGCCGCUGAUCGAUCUGCCGCUGGAGUUUUUUGAGCAAGUGCUGUGCGUCUGGAUGCCUGGAUGCCAAGCCGUGUGGAUGCCUGCCUCCAGAAUGAAUGUGCUGCAGCGAGAAAAACCGCACCAGUUUGAAAGCCCUUGAACAAAAGAUACCAGCAAUUAGUCAGACAAUGUUUACAUGGAUGCCGGCAUAAUUAUCGGAUGAGUCAACCCGUGUCCGUGCUACACAAGCAUUUUAAAAUCAUGGACUUUAAUUCAUCGCUAGGAAUAUGUGGAUGCAGGAUGAUAUCUAUUGUAAAAAAAGGGAUGAGCUCAUUUGAAUCCGAACGGAAAACAUGAUCAAAACGAUUUAGUAUAGGGAUUCUAGGUUUUCCGAGUUAGAAAACAUUUGAUCAAACUCUAGUUUGAAACAACAGUACAUACAUAUCGAACUAUUUAAUUUUUCGUUGGAAUUCCUGGAGGAACUUCCUGAUGGAACUUCCGAAGGAAUU
Molecule: long non-coding RNA, 717 nt
Organism: Armigeres subalbatus
Lineage: Eukaryota; Metazoa; Arthropoda; Insecta; Diptera; Culicidae
Exons: 3
Source: RefSeq, a predicted model, not a curated record